RNAcentral lists this ribosomal RNA (232 nucleotides) under uncultured bacterium. RNAcentral describes it as "partial 16S ribosomal RNA". It matches the Rfam family "Bacterial small subunit ribosomal RNA", at positions 99 to 334 of the family's 1533-position model. The record is from RNAcentral.
CGGACGGGUGAGCAAUGUCUGGGAAACUGCCCGAUGGAGGGGGAUAACUACUGGAAACGGUAGCUAAUACCGCAUAACGUCGCAAGACCAAAGAGGGGGACCUUCGGGCCUCUUGCCAUCGGAUGUGCCCAGAUGGGAUUAGCUAGUAGGUGGGGUAACGGCUCACCUAGGCGACGAUCCCUAGCUGGUCUGAGAGGAUGACCAGCCACACUGGAACUGAGACACGGUCCAG